Molecule: long non-coding RNA, 1339 nt
Organism: Athene cunicularia (burrowing owl)
Lineage: Eukaryota; Metazoa; Chordata; Aves; Strigiformes; Strigidae
Exons: 3
Source: RefSeq, a predicted model, not a curated record
CCUGAAAAUCUGACCUUCCCUGACUCACGGUCCUGGAGUGCUGGUUUUUUGUCAGAUCUACACAGCAGAAAAGCUGGGAACCCCAGACCCAGGAAAGGGCAGGCAAGACCAAUCACUUCUGGGGAAUUCAGAUCAACUGAAAUCACUUACUAAAUCCCCACCUGCCUUUCAGCACUUGAGAAUACAGAGAGGGAGCACUGGUUUAAUGGAAGCUCCUCUAUGAAACUAGAAUUUGAUCUCUAGUGCUGGAAAAAAUACCAGGACAUUGUCAUGUAACUGCAUAAUUCUGGGGGGAAAAAACUACUUUUGUCAGCACCCAAAACCUCCCACAGGUACAUACUGGCCAGUUAUGACCCGAAGUCACACAGAAGGUCAGGGUAUAGCCCUGUCGUUACCCACUACCUUGCAGUUCAGAGCAUCUCAUUGCUCCUUCCCUAGUUCAGCAGUGCAGCACAAGGGAAAGCGUUCCUGGGUUCCUACCCUUGCUUUGCAAUUCCAGACACAGCUCACAAUUUCCGGCUAAGAAGUUCCCCCUUCAUUCCAGUGCCAAUCAAUCAAAGAUACAAAAACAAAGCCUUUGUGUGUAUUAGUGUUUCACAAAAGAGCCCUGAUCUUUGUUUUGAUCCUCUCAAAAUGAAUACAGUUCAGAAGCCAAUGCAGCCAUACAUGCAAACAUAUUUCCUGCACCCUGUAUCUUCACCCUUCAGCAAUUAAUGUCAUUUACUAACCAUAUUCCACCAAGUAAAAGAAUAUGCUUGUUUAAACUGUCUUAUGAAGUGGCACUUCACAAACAGAAAAGCAGGUGAAAGGGAAGGGAGAAUACCCCAAACUAUGUCCUAAACUUUUAAAAAUCUAUUCCUGAGUGGCUUCACAAUGUGGCAUCAUUUCUACAUUUAUCCAACAGGUUCAUGAACUCGUCCCUUCACUAUGGAUUCCAAUUCCCAUUGGGGUGAAAUAUUGACAGUCUGGUGCAUUUGAAUUGCAACGCUAUCCGGAGUUGGAUUUGAAAGUGAUUAUUUGAAAUAUAAUUGACCGUGACAUCCAUACGACAACCAGGUCACUUGGCAAGCAGGAUUUCCCAAGCUUCGGUGAUCUCAGCUGCAUUCCAAGCAAUAAUCCUAAGAACACAAUGUGACUGAGACAGCUCAGCUGGGCAAUAGCAAGAACAAGAGAUGUCAGAAAGUCAUCGAUCCAUUUCUCAUAAGCAGGUAUCUUCUUGUAAGAAAGUAUCCCCUAGAACACCUGUUCUCAAGAACAACUUCUUAAGAACAAAAAGAUGUAACACCCACCCCAAGACCUCUGGGUAUGGACCUCAUGCUGACAGUACUGCCGUCCUAGA